This 312-nucleotide ribosomal RNA is filed under the name uncultured eukaryote. Its description in RNAcentral is "partial large subunit ribosomal RNA". It matches the Rfam family "Eukaryotic large subunit ribosomal RNA", at positions 40 to 350 of the family's 3401-position model. The record is from RNAcentral.
AUAUCAGUAAGCAGAGGAAAAGAAACUAACUAGGAUUCCCUCAGUAACGGCGAGUGAAGCGGGAAGAGCUCAACUUUCAAAUCCGAGCGCAAGCUCCGAAUUGUAGUUUAGAGAAGCGUUUUCGGUGACAUCCCUGGUCCAAGUCCUUUGGAACAAGGUAUCAUAGAGGGUGAGAAUCCCGUCUAUGACUAGGGGGGAAGUCAUUAUGUGAUACGCUUUCAAAGAGUCGGGUUGUCUGGGACUACAGCCCAAAAUGGGUGGUAAAUUUCAUCUAAAGCUAAAUAUUGGUACGAGACCGAUAGCGCACAAGUA